UACGAAGGGGGCUAGCGUCGCUCGGAAUCACUGGGCGUAAAGCGCACGUAGGCGGAUCUUUAAGUCAGGGGUGAAAUCCUGGAGCUCAACUCCAGAACUGCCUUUGAUACUGGGGAUCUCGAGUCCGGAAGAGGUGAGUGGAACUCCGAGUGUAGAGGUGAAAUUCGUAGAUAUUCGGAAGAACACCAGUGGCGAAGGCGGCUCACUGGUCCGGUACUGACGCUGAGGUGCGAAAGCGUGGGGAGCAAACAGG
Molecule: ribosomal RNA, 253 nt
Filed under: uncultured bacterium
Lineage: Bacteria
Description: partial 16S ribosomal RNA
Rfam family: Bacterial small subunit ribosomal RNA
Source: RNAcentral